Molecule: long non-coding RNA, 7197 nt
Organism: Antechinus flavipes (yellow-footed antechinus)
Lineage: Eukaryota; Metazoa; Chordata; Mammalia; Dasyuromorphia; Dasyuridae
Exons: 2
Source: RefSeq, a predicted model, not a curated record
UCUAAAAGAUACUAGAUAAGCAUUGGGAAAAUAUGCUGGGAAUUAUAUCACCACAGCUGGGUCCAGAGCAAUGUCUAGCUGGACCUUCUAAAGAGAGUUUCUCAACAAACUGAAGGUAGACAUCCUGGCCAAUUCUCACAUAUUCUCAGAAUAAAAAAAGAAUCUUUGAUGAAUGCUCCCUGAAAUAUGAAUUCCAAAAUCACAUAUCUGCCUGGAAAGAUCCCGUGAUGGGGAUAGCAUUAUCUCAUUUCAUUUUUGGACAGUACUUAUUGUUUGAAACGUAUCUUCCUCUAACUCCCAUUCACUGCUGCUUCUGGUCUUCCCUUUGGAGUCAUCUCUCAUUAGCUGCGUAUGUCUUGUUGAGUUGUGAGAUGUAAAUUCCAGGAAAUGGGCUGAAGAGUCAGGACAAGAAAAGUACAGUACAAAUAAGACAUAAAGAUUAGGGAAGCAACCACAGCAGAAAUCAGGACAACCAUCAGGUUAGAAACAAGGUAAACAAACAAAUCAGAGGGCAGAUACCCGAAGGUAGAGUAGGCGGGACAACCAAAGUCCAUUCAAACAGUCAGAAAACCAGGUCUAUAGGAGUUGAAGAAGCAUCACAAGAGACCUGGUCAAAGGGCCUAGCAAAUAACCAGCAAACAGGAAUCCUUAAGAACUGUCAGAUGAAAGGAGGUCCUAAUACAAAGGCUGCCAGCUGCCUCAGCCUCCCUGUCUUUAUUCUCCACUCAUGCUGGUCAAAACAAAUCUUUGCUGGGUCUACCCCUGAAAAAAGCCCUUACAGAAGACAACUAAAAAUUACUUCUCUGGAUAGUGAGAAUGCAAGUGAGACACAAACCAUUUUCUGACAUAGUUUCCUGACACCACAUUAGAUGGCCUCUGUCUAUAGUUCACAUAAGGAUAUGACAAAAUAUUUUCUCCCCUCAUACUAAAAAAAAAAAAAAAAAAAAAAUUCUGUGAGCAAUGCAAACCUAAGAAAGGUGGGGAAAUAACAUCCUACUAACUUUAUGUCUUAUCAUCAAGUGGCAUCUGUAAAAUUAUUCCCAUUUUAUACAUGAGAAAAUUAAAAACCUCAGAGAGGUUUUGUUUGACUUGACCAAAUCAAAGUAAGUAGCUGGGCAAAAAUUCUAAGGCAAGUCUGAAGCUAAGACCCAUAAUCCUAGCUGUGGCAGCCAAGAGAGAAUUUCUAAAGACUUUGUCAUAAUUUUAUCCAAUUUGCAAUCACUUAUUAAGGGGUUUUAGUCUUUAGAUCCAAAGGGCAUUUUUCCACUAAAAUUAUCUCUCCCUCCUCCAAAAAAAAAAAAAAAAAAAAAAAAAAAAAAAAAAAAAAAAAAAGUCAUACCAAGGACUCUGUGGCUAGUUUAGUGGGAGAUGAAGCUUCAGAGGCCAUAAUAUUUCAUUUUAUCAAGUAGCAGAGAUUAAAAGCUAUUAUUGUAUCAUAUUUUUGAGCAUAUGGGGGUGCUAUCACAUAAGAGACAAGCUCAUCUGCCAAACCAUUUUGCAUUUAAAAAAAAAAGAAAGAAAGAAAAGAGAAAGAUAACUGACCACAGAGAUAGGGAAAUGAUACUUUGAAAGUCAGUAACAAUGAGGUUUGAGAGAUGGAAUUGUGAGAACUUUUGCCUAAUCACAGGGAAAAGCAACAAGACAGAUUGGGAAAGACUUGGGAACCAAGUAAGUAAAGAGCCUAGCAAUAGUAAGUUAUCUGGGCCAAGUUUAAUGCAAACAGAAUGACUUUAUCAUCUAUAAACAACAGGAUUUUGCCAUAUCUGAAAAGCCGCAAACCCCUGGAGAUUUACCACUGUCUGAAAGGGUAUACAUUGGAAGGCACAUUUCCCCCCCAAAAAAGUUUUCAUAAUUUUUUUUAGGGCUAGAAGAAGAGAUCAUAUUGCCUCACCACUUUUAUUUCUACCACCAAGAAGACAGAAUUUGAAAUUAUUAGCAAAGGAUCACACAGAGUCAGUGGCAGUGCUGAAACUAAAACUCAAAUCUAUUAAGUUGCUUUGUUUUCUGCCUGACCCCAAUGUUUCCUUAUACCCAAAAAUGUAAAAGUUCUUAAACUUCUUUAUGCCUUGGACCUCAUAUGCAAUCCAAGGACACCUUCAGAGAACAAUGAUUUUUAAAUUCAUAAUAUAAAACACAUUACAAAGGAAAAGAAUUAUGUUGAAAUAAAGAUACAUAUUUUUCCCCAAGCAAGUUCAUAAACCCUCUCAAAUCUAUCCACGAACCCCCUGAAGAGUAAUUCUAGGUUAAGAAUCUCUGCCUUAAAGAAAUAAUGGCUUUCAUAAUCUCAAAAGACAUUGUUUUCUGACCAAGGUCUCAGUAGUCUCUAAGACAAACUUAUUGUUUACAAAUAAGUAUUUUGAACAACAUUCUGUUUAAAAAUAACAGGAACAGAUGAUGAAGAAGAGGAUGAAUGUAUGUUCUAGUCUUCAAGACUGGCUUUUAUUUCUUUUCUAGAAGUACUAACAGAUUCACAGGAUAGCUGGAAGCUAGAAAGAUACUUUAAAAGAUCAUUUAGUCUAAACAACCCCCUUGCUAAAGCCAUACAGCUAGUAAUAUUGAUGGGUUUAGAAUCCCUAUUUUCUGGUCCCGAUACCUUGUCUCUCCUACCACACCACACAGUGUCAAGAAUCUUUGAAACUUUAAUAUUUAAAGCUUUGUCUCAAGAAUAACUUUUUUAUGAAGUAAAAAGCAGAAGUUUCUAUACCUCUCAGAGCAAUACACACAUGAAAUUAAAUUCAUUUAGAGAGGGCUAAAUCAAUGUAUCAAUCAACAAGCAUUUAUUAAACACUUACAGGAAAGAAGGAAACAAGCACUUAUUAAAUGCCUACUAUGAUGUGCCAAGCACUUUGCAAAUAUUAUCUCAUUCAAUCCUCACAACAAUAGUAGGGAGAGUAGGUAUUAGUACAACACCCAUUUUAUAGAUAAGGAAACUGAAGUAAACAGAGAUUAAGUAACUCAAACAGGACCACCCAGCUAAUAUGUCUGACACUCGAUUUUAACUUAGGUUUUAUUGACUCCAGGUCCAGCACUAUAUGUAUCUACAUUAUCAUCUAAUCGCCUUAUUACCAGGAGCACUAAGAAUAUAUCAAAUAAUCAGAGUCCUCGAUUUCAAAGAGCUUGGAUAAGUAUUUUCAAAAUAUAUACAAAAUGUACACAAGGUAAUUUUCAUAGAGUAGGAACUGACAAUUGAGGGAAAGGAGAAAGCAGGUAAAUCCCUAUGUGUCCAGGCCACAAAGCACUAACUUCCACUUAGAAACCUAACUGCUGUUAGACAAACAACAAAGGGGAAGGAGGAUAGAAAUGUCUACUAGGUCUUUGAGGCAGCAUUCAUGGCUUCAUUCAAGGUACCAAACAAAUACAAAGCUUCAUUUCCUGUCAUCCAACACACAUUUCAAAUACUAUCCCAAUGCUAAAUUUCAGUACUAUGUAAGGAAGAUAGCCAAGUAAAAAUCUCCAGAUGUUAAAAAAAAAAAAAAAAAAAAAAAAAAAAGGGUUUACAUGAAGAGCAAGUCUUUUAACUAGUCAAAGAAAUAUGGGCCCCUGGUCUAUUUUUCCUAUGCUACCCAGACUGAAAUUUUGUAUACUUGAAAAUGGUUCCAAGCAGAUCCCAAGAUAAUCAAGAAAAAAAUAAAAAAGAGGAAAGCCUCCAAAAGCCCUUGCUUUCUUCUUAUGGGAUCACACAUGUUGGCCACAGACCUAAACCAAAAAGCUUCCUGGAAGCCCAUCAAAAACAUGUCAAUACAGGUCAGAAUGGACAAGAAGGCAAAAACUUAAAGGCAUCGAAGGAUUAAUCUUUUCAAGUCUUUAAAACAAACACUUGUUCACUGGUAGGUAUCUGAACUUGUUCUGAAAAGGACACCAAGGUAAAUAUGACUGAGAAAUUGAGGAGGGUGGGAGGAGAAGGGAGCCGAAUAUAGCUUCUCCCAGUGUGGGGUGUAUAUUGACACAACACCAACUAGCUGUUACCUUCAAUUCCCAAAACUAAUAAGUAAUCCUCCAAAACUUUCUCAUGCUUUGGAAUUAAUUUUGUUUUAAAUUUCAGAACAGGUUGCUUACUGAGUUACUUUUGUGCACAUGUAUAGAAUGUCAAACAUGAAGAUACAUACAUGUUGCAACCUGCAAAAACAUUUCCCAACAGGCUGAAAAUCUUGGUGAAAGUUGCUUAAUUAAUAAUAUGAUGCAUCUUUUUUGAAUGAGGUGGGAGAGAGGGGAGUUUCCUUUUAAGUGAUUCUGCUUUUAGAAGGGUAAUACAUGACUUUUUCUUUUUUCCAGGGAACCUGCCUUUAAACAAUCCUAGGACUGCUAGUAUUGAAGCUUAAAAUGGUAUAUUACAUACACUGGGAUUGGACUUUUGGCUUUGAUGGAAGGAAACUCCCUGGAUGAGGAAACUAACCAAAAUGAGUCCACACCUUUUUCUGCAAGUCUACUCUCAGAGCUAUUUAAAGCAAAUGAGCAUUUCAGUGACUUGACCAAGGUCACAUACAAAGUCUGUAUGUGACCACAGUAAAGCACAUGGUAAGUGAUUAACAGUUGGUUAGUUGGUUGUUGUCCUUUGUAUUUGAAGAGGACCAAAAUGAUAUCACUAUGUUAGAAUCAAGUUAGUGUAUCUUAACUUGUGGCUGAUCACACCAAUUUGAGCUAGGAAUGCUCUGCCACAGGUAGACACAAAUAGUCCCUAUGAACAUUUGAAGUAAAAAUGUUUACUGAAUGACAAACCUCUUCCUGGCUUCAAGUUCUGCUCUCAAAGUACUACAACAGACUGCCUACCCACCUGCUACCCUUACCACACAGAGACACACAUACAGGAAAAAGAAAGGAAUCAUAGUUUUAUAGAGCACCUACAAUGUGCCAGGCACUGUGCUCAGUGCUUUUCAAGUAUGUUUUGACUUGAUACUUAGAACAACCCUUUUACAGUUGAAAAAACUGCGGUUAAGUGACUUACCCACAAGGGUCACAUAACUAGCAAGUGUUUAAGGACAUUUAUAAACUAAGAUCUUCCUUACUCUAGGAUAGGUUAUCUAUCCACUGUACCACCUAGCUGCCUACACUCAAAGAAGAGGCUUAAUAACCAUUAUUUUGAAUGAAUGGGGGGCGGGGGGAAGGGGGGGAGGAGGAAGUAGUUAUGGAAAUACUUUUUUCUUCUUCAAAAAGUUUAACAUCAGUUAAAACCUCAACUCUCCCUGUGAUUUCAACAGUCUCUUCGCCCUCUUUGGAUCUCAGUUUUCUUAUCUGUAAAAUGGGAGGAGGGAUGGGAAGGGAACAUAGUACCUAAAACCUCUACUAUUCCUUCAAAAGGAUAAGAAAGCUAUGAGUUUCAUCUGCUAUUUUGAAAGGAAAAGGAUAACACUAAUGUGAAGUUCCCUAAAUCAGGAAACAAGAAUGAAAUUUUUGUCUACAAAAGAUACAUUUUAUUCCUGCUAAACAGAAACAACUAGAGUGGGCAAGGAAGGACUUCUACAAUAACCUGGAUUUUUUUUUCUUUAUAAUUAGAUCAAAUGUGGGUUUUCUCAGAGAUCCUAGAGUUCUCAACAAAUAUCUGAAUUUCUGAUGAACAAAUGUAACUUCCUAUUCAUCAAAGGGGAAAAAGCUAGAUCAACUAUUCUAGUUCAAGUCAACUUGAGUUCCAAAUGAAAGUUUUAUGUCUCAUGAGCUUCUAAACAGGAAAAUUAUAUCAUGGCUGACAGUAAAGUAAUUUAAUUGCACUGUUGCUAUGACAACAUGCUGCUCUCUUUCUGUUUAAUUUGCUUAUUUGUCAGUAGCUUCCCAAAGGAAUGAACAAGCUAUUCUCCAUGUUUUCUUUUGUUUUAAACAAACAUUUUCAGAGGCCAGCAAUAAUAGUUUCUUUCUUUAAAUGAUACUUCAAAAAUAAGUUUACAAAAAUAAAGAGCAAGGAAGCAGGGUCCAAUAACCUUGUAUUUCUUUGCUUUGUCUAUAUUUCCACAGCCUUCCUUUUAGCUCCCCCCCAACCAUUCAAUCCACUACAUAUCUACAAAUCAUGCAUUUUAUAGCAACUGUGUGCAAGGCCCUUGACCUCUAAGAUUGGUUUAAAACACAUUUUCCAGAAACCACAGCUGAGGAUUUUUCCAUUAUUCUAUUCUAACUACAGCAUUAACCAAAUCUUUUCCCCUCCCUAUUCUAGAGAAAUGGGGGGGGGGGGGGGGAGGAGACAGAAGAAAUAAGGAGUAUGCAGUUAAGCAAACAUUUUAAAAUCUGCUGCCAAUUAAGCUGUUCCACAAGAUAAGUCAAUAGUUAUUCAAUGGUGAUCCCUUUAAAACUUUUUUUUGAAUUAUCUGUGUUAUACCCUCCUUAUUUUUUUAUGCCUUGUUUAAAAAAAAAAAAGUAAACUGCUUUAGAAAAGCUUGUUUCUUGCCCACUUCUAAAAUUUUUUCACAAUAACUGACAGGCACAUUAAAAUGUUGAGCCCUCAACAGGUGUUCACUAUGGGAUUUAGAAAGGGGAGGUGGGAGGGAGGGAGAGGGGGACAGAUAUUUCAAUAGCAAAGCUAACGGAGUCAGAGAGUUUGUGGGGCCAGGGGCAACUUCAUUCCCACCCCUCCCUUCCUGCGCGCGCGCACACUCUGGAUUCCCUUCUACUGUACUUGUCAAAAACAUUUGAAGGGGAACAAUGAAGGCAGCGAUUGGCUGGGCUUAGAGUCAAUCAGUCGUGUUGCUAGGAAACGGGGAAACUGCUCUUAUUCCCCACACAUAGGGCAGUUGCGAGCUCACAUACCUUCACUGCUGGUCAGAUGUCAUAAACAUUUUAUUGGCCUUAAGGGUUGCAUGUCAUAAAAAUAAAUACAGCCCCCAACUUAACAUGCACCCAAGGAAAUCUGAUAGAAAAGGGGGUACUUGGGCCUGGGUAAGUGAGUAACGUUUCAGGAGACUUAUUCCCUUUUGCCUAUGCCAAGGCUGGACAGUUUUGGUUUUGUUUAUUUGUUUUUGUUUUUUUAAAGAGACAGAAAAAAAGCAAUAAUCUUUGUUAGGCGCAUUUCUUGCUAUCUUGAGGUCCGUUUUCUCCACCCCUAUGCACCCCAGACUCCAGUGUGAAUGACUGAGAUCCCAGUCCUCGUCACACAAUGCCAAUUCUUGUCUGUUUCUGAAGGGGACUCUUUCUUUUUCUUUUCUUUCUUUCUUUCUUUUUUUUUUUUUUUCGGAAAUCGAAGCAAUAGGAAAACAUCCUGUACGUCGGGUCAGGAAA